This is a long non-coding RNA of Musa acuminata AAA Group (dessert banana), 1200 nucleotides long. RefSeq lists it as uncharacterized. The transcript is spliced from 3 exons. Lineage: Eukaryota; Viridiplantae; Streptophyta; Magnoliopsida; Zingiberales; Musaceae. The record is from RefSeq and is a predicted model, not a curated record.
GUUUCUUGAAGAGGAGAAGAGAGGAAAUGAACGAGGAAGAGGAGAAGGGAGCACAGAGGCGAGGGGCGAGAAGACAAAGUGCCUUCAUCUUCUUUGAAUCCCAUCGCCGUUCGGUCUUACUCGACUCGGAAACAAAGGUUUGAGGAUCUUGAAGAUGGAGGUAUCUGCGCUGGUGUUGGCUUGUGGCUUGAGGGUGGGAGCUGAUGAAAGGUACAAGAUUUGGUGUUGUAUUGGCAAUCCGUUGGCAUUGCAUUAUGCUUCCGAGGCUAAGUGCUUCACAGGGCCGUCUUCAGCAGAGGGCUGGAGCUGAUGGAACCAAUAAUAGGUCCCUGUAUGUCAUCAAGGUCGGACCUGUCCACAAUGCCAAGUGAUUUCUUUUCGAUUCUUACCACACCAUCGCUUUGGUAAGUCGAGUUUACUAAGAGUUUAGUUUAAUGAGACAGUUAGUUAAAUAAUGUCUAAAUGAUUCUACUAUAGUUGAUCUAUCAGUUAGUUAAUGAGACAGUUAAUUAGUCGAGAUAAAUGGUACUAAAAAUUGUUCAAUAAUGUUAAUUUCAGUUUUGAAAAUCCUAAUGGUUCUAAACGAUCAAAUAUGAGUCAGCAAACGUGUUUAUCAAAGAGAUUCUUCAAAGUAGCAGUCUGGAUUGAUGCAGAAUGAUAUUUGAGAAAGUUUCUUUGACGUCCAUGCAACUUCUUAUUAAUGUUCUUCGUUGGGACUCUCACUACCAACCACAAUGAAUCAUAAUUAUGUAGAAGUUUCUCUAAACUAAAUAUCCGGAAGUACACUGUCAAGCUUGGGUAGCUUCUUAGCAUAUACUUCAAGAUUGAGUAGCGAUAUUAUCAGACAAAUAGGAUGGAUGGAUCACAGCGACACUAAUCAAUAUGAAAAGAGGCAAAAUCAUCACAAAAACCAUAAGAACAUAGUGCUGCAACACCCAUAUAGCCGAAUACUUACAAGCAGACAGCUAGAGUGGCCCUCUGUGCAUCUUCACUGUAGUGCCAGAUUUAUUUUGCUGGAGCAUUGUUGGGAACUAGCUUAUUAAGUAAAUGUUUUUAUUUCUUUAGAUUAUUAGUUAUCGAAUUCAUCAUGGCAAUCAGAGUUCUGCAUUCACUAUCUCCCUCACCCCACAACAUGGAACUUGUGGUUCGUUUUAACAUUUCAUUCAGUGAUGUACUUCCAUGUGAUGACAUGAAUUUAUG